RNAcentral lists this unclassified non-coding RNA (329 nucleotides) under soil metagenome. Its description in RNAcentral is "partial contains 5.8S ribosomal RNA, internal transcribed spacer 2, and large subunit ribosomal RNA". The stretch from base 1 to 120 matches the Rfam family "5.8S ribosomal RNA", at positions 35 to 154 of the family's 154-position model. The record is from RNAcentral.
GAUGAAGAACGUAGCGAAAUGCGAUAAGUAAUGUGAAUUGCAGAAUUCAGUGAAUCAUCGAAUCUUUGAACGCACAUUGCGCCCCUUGGUAUUCCGAGGGGCAUGCCUGUUCGAGCGUCAUUAUAACCCCUCAAGCUCAGCUUGGUGUUGGGGCCUGCUGCACUGGCAGCCCUUAAAAUCAGUGGCGGCGCCAUCUGGCUCUAAGCGUAGUAAUUCUUCUCGCUAUGGAGUCCUGGGGGAUGCUUGCCAUCAACCCCCAAUUUUUCUAUGGUUGACCUCGGAUCAGGUAGGGAUACCCGCUGAACUUAAGCAUAUCAAUAAGCGGAGGA